RNAcentral lists this ribosomal RNA (468 nucleotides) under uncultured bacterium. RNAcentral's name for it is "partial 16S ribosomal RNA". It matches the Rfam family "Bacterial small subunit ribosomal RNA", at positions 28 to 507 of the family's 1533-position model. The record is from RNAcentral.
GACGAACGCUGGCGGCGUGCUUAACACAUGCAAGUCGAACGGAAAGGCCCUGCUUGUGUGGUGUGCUCGGGUGGCGAACGGGUGCGGAACACGUGAGUAACCUGCCCUUGACUUUGGGGUAACUUCAGGAAACGGGGGCUAAUACCGGAUAGGAGCUCCUGCUGCAUGGUGGGGGGGGGAAAGUUUCGGCGGUUGGGGAUGGACUCGCGGCUUAUCGGCUUGUUGGUGGGGUAGGGGUUUACCAAGGCUUUGACUGGUAGCCGGCCUGGGAGCGUGACCGGCCACAUGGGGACUGCGAUACGGCCCAGACUCCUACGUGAGGCAGCGGUGGGGAAUCUUGCACAAUGGGCCGAAGCCUGAGGAAGCAACGCCGCGUGCGGGAUGACGGCCUUCGGGUUGUAAACCGCUUUCGCCUGUGACGAAGCGUGAGUGACGGUAAUGGGUAAAGAAGCACCGGCUAACUACGUG